CCCCUAGAUGUUCUGGGCCGCACGCGCGCUACACUGAACAGUUCAACAAGUCUUAACCUUGGCCGAUAGGUCUGGGUAAUCUUUGAACGCUGUUCGUGAUUGGGAUAGACCUUUGCAAUUAUUGGUCUUCAACGAGGAAUUCCUAGUAAACGCAAGUCAUCAGCUUGCAUUGAUUACGUCCCUGCCCUUUGUACACACCGCCCGUCGCACCUACCGAUUGAAUGGUCCGGUGAAAUCUCGGGACGGCGGCUUGGUCGCUUGCGUCCGACUGCUGAAACUUGAUUAAACCAUAUCAUUUAGAGGAAGGUGAANUCGUAACA
Molecule: ribosomal RNA, 320 nt
Filed under: uncultured eukaryote
Lineage: Eukaryota
Description: partial 18S ribosomal RNA
Rfam family: Eukaryotic small subunit ribosomal RNA
Source: RNAcentral